Molecule: long non-coding RNA, 374 nt
Organism: Trichomycterus rosablanca
Lineage: Eukaryota; Metazoa; Chordata; Actinopteri; Siluriformes; Trichomycteridae
Exons: 2
Source: RefSeq, a predicted model, not a curated record
GACCAAUGAGCCUCAACUUCCUGUUGUAAAGAGAGUAACGGACAAUCAACGACCUCAGAAUUGAAAGGCUGUUGGUUGAUAUGUGGACAGCUGUGACCUCCACAUAUUAUGAUAUCCUGCACAAUCUUGAACAAGUUGAGAUGCUGGACAUUGCAAAUACCCUGCACCUCUUUCUGGUACACCUUGUGUUUCUUCCCCGACCUUCAGAUCUUUGUUAAAGGCUGGAACCACCAUCCCCUUUUAUGACCCCGGAACAAAUGUGGCAAAUGUAACUUUUGUACUGACUCUGACUUGUACUGACUCUAUUCUCAUAGAUACUUGUACUGACUCUAUUCUCAUAUAUAUUACAUAUAAAUAAAUAACAGUACACAGUU